CCUACGGGGGGCAGCAGUGAGGAAUAUUGGUCAAUGGACGAGAGUCUGAACCAGCCAAGUAGCGUGAAGGAUGACUGCCCUAUGGGUUGUAAACUUCUUUUAUAAAGGAAUAAAACGAGGCACGUGUGCCUUUUUGCAUGUACUUUAUGAAUAAGGAUCGGCUAACUCCGUGCCAGCAGCCGCGGUAAUACGGAGGAUCCGAGCGUUAUCCGGAUUUAUUGGGUUUAAAGGGAGCGUAGAUGGGUUGUUAAGUCAGUUGUGAAAGGUUGCGGCUCAACCGUAAAAUUGCAAUUGAUACUGGCAGUCUUGAGUACAGUUGAGGUAGGCGGAAUUCGUGGUGUAGCGGUGAAAUGCUUAGAUAUCACGAAGAACCCCGAUUGCGAAGGCAGCUUACUAAACUGUGACUGACAUUGAUGCUCGAAAGUGUGGGUAUCAAACAGGAUUAGAUACCCGUGUAGUC
This 460-nucleotide ribosomal RNA is filed under the name uncultured bacterium. RNAcentral describes it as "partial 16S ribosomal RNA". It matches the Rfam family "Bacterial small subunit ribosomal RNA", at positions 338 to 795 of the family's 1533-position model. The record is from RNAcentral.